This 474-nucleotide ribosomal RNA is filed under the name Ophryastes sp. CND754. Its description in RNAcentral is "eukaryotic LSU rRNA". The record is from RNAcentral. Lineage: Eukaryota; Metazoa; Arthropoda; Insecta; Coleoptera; Curculionidae.
GAGUUCAAGAGUACUUGAAACCGUUUAGGGSUAAACCUGAGAAACCCGAAAGGUCGAAGGGAGAAAUUCAUUCGCGUUUCGCCGUUGGCGUGAGACGGACGUGUGACGGAAGACGUUUCGUACGUUUUCCGCGCCUUCUGUUUUUCGAACCGAUAGCGAACGCGUGCACUUUUCUCCUGGUAGGACGUCGCGAUCCGUUGGGUGUCGGUCUACGGCUCGCGGUGGAGCCCGUACGUUACGGCUUGCCGUUACGCGUACGGACCCGCGUGUCCCGGCUGACUCGCUCGACGGUAUACGAAAGGUUUAAGGCCGCUUUUAGGAGCGUUCGACUCGUCGCAAGCGCGUCAGAUGUGUCGGUGAUCGGACCUGGUGCCGGUUCUGACCUCUGGCGACUGUUGGCGGCGAAGUUCUCGGACAGACCUUUAACCGAUCUGCGACGCUAUAGCUUUGGGUACUUUCAGGACCCGUCUUGAA